GACGAACGCUGGCGGCACGCCUAACACAUGCAAGUCGAGCGAGUAGAUCCCUUCGGGGUGAAGCUAGCGGCGGACGGGUGAGUAACACGUGGGCAACCUGCCUCAUAGAGGGGAAUAGCCUUCCGAAGGGAGAUUAAUACCGCAUAAUAUUGUAGCUUCGCAUGAAGUAGCAAUUAAAGGAGCAAUCCGCUAUGAGAUGGGCCCGCGGCGCAUUAGCUAGUUGGUGAGGUAAAGGUUCACCAAGGCGACGAUGCGUAGCCGACCUGAGAGGGUGGCCGACCAAACGGGGCCGGGGACACGGCCGAGACUCCUACGGGAGGCAGCAGUGGGGAAUAUUGCACAAGGGGGGAAACCCCGAUGCCGCAACCCCGCGUGAGUGAUGACGGCCGUCGGGUUGUAAAGCUCUGUCUUCAGGGACGAUAAUGACGGUACCUGUGGAGGAAGCCACGGCUAACAACGUGCCAGCAGCCGCCGUAA
Molecule: ribosomal RNA, 477 nt
Filed under: uncultured bacterium
Lineage: Bacteria
Description: partial 16S ribosomal RNA
Rfam family: Bacterial small subunit ribosomal RNA
Source: RNAcentral